This 3954-nucleotide long non-coding RNA is filed under the name Homo sapiens (human). RNAcentral's name for it is "HSALNT0348380". Lineage: Eukaryota; Metazoa; Chordata; Mammalia; Primates; Hominidae. The record is from RNAcentral.
CAGGUACUAAUAAGUGGCACUUUUAAUUUGUGGCAUCAAUUUACAUCACUGAGUCUGUCCCCCACUUCUUCCCCACCCCACCCCUACUGAUUUUCAUGUUUCUUUGUAGGUGGUUUUGCUGGAGAGCUGAAUUCUGUAUAACCUUUUACUCCACUUCUGUGUUAUCCCAAGAUACAGCUUCUUUUCUUCACUGUUUAAAAUAGACAUUUUAAACAUCAUCAACUCCCCUUGAUAAAGCUGCCAUUUAUGUUCAGAUCUUGAUUUUCUAGUUCUAAUAAUUCCAUUCCAGGCUACCUGUGAGCCUGGCAUAGAGUAUGCAAUCAGCAAAUAUUUGCUUAAUGAAUAAGUGAGUGGAUGAGAGGUAGACUGGGACUCACAGAGAUUUCAAAAGAAAGAAAUAAUACACAAAGCAUGUUAAUUAACAAGGGGAAAAAUUAAGAAAUGAAUCUUAUAAAAAUUUUCAGUAAGUGGUCUUUACGAAUGAGAAUUUUCUUUCAGAGUUAAGGAAAAUACAUAUAUUUUGUGGCCCACAACUUUAUUGGUGGCUAGCUGCAUGUUAAAAUUCAAUGUAAUUUAUCCUGAUUAUACUUACUGAAAGUAUAAUGCAACAUACAACACUUAAAACUUUCUGGCAUAAUUACUAAAAUUAGAAACAAAGGGCUUUUGACAGUGUGUGUGAUAUUUUGGAAAUGGACUCUCCCUCCACCUGGGCAUUUUCAUGUAGUUUGGCCAUUUUUCAUUCUUGUCACCUAGUGGAGGAUGGGUAUAAUGUUUCAGUCUCCCAUCAGGCAUACUGGGUAAGAUUUUAGCAAAGAGAAGUAUUAAUGAAAUAUUUUUAUCUUUUACAUGAUAAAUUUAGCCAAUAGUUUCUUAUAUCAAUAAUCCUAGGUAAGUAACAAUUUGAUAGACAGGUAAAAUUUAUCUUAAAGACUCUAGAGCGAUUGCUAGAAUAAUUCAUUCUAUAUAUAAUAUAUAUUUUCUUUAAAAAUUUGAAUGAUUUUAAUUGCUGCUCUCUUUGAAUGUUUCUGCCCUUUUAUCAUUUUUUCAACAUUUGCAUUGGAUCAUUUGAAAGGAAUAGGGUAAGACUUUUGAGUUUCAGUAUCUCUUAAAAGAAUAAUCUUUGCUAAUUCGGCAGAUACUUUGUAAGCAUUUCUCUUAAUUCAUGCAUUAUAAAAAUUCUUGGAAGGUCAGUUUAGCUCAUCUGUUGAGUUUCCUAAUACAAGAAUGUUGCUGAUUUUCUAAACAGAUUAAAGACUCUCACAGGGUCAGUCAAGCACUUUGGAAGCAUGGUACAGGAUGGUGUAGCCACGUUCUCAACAUGGGGUCAAGGGGACCAACAGUGUCUGCCUCACCAGAGAAUUUGUUGGAAAUACAAAUUCUCUGCCCCCUCCCAAGCCUACUGAGUCAGAAACUCUGUGGGUAGACCCAGUAACGUGUGUUUGAACAAGCCCUCAGAGGAUUCUUAAGCAUAUUCAAGUGGAGAACCACUUUUGUAAAUUAUAUUUUUUGUGUCCUUUUAUAUUCUAUAGAUAAUGCCCCUUUUUGGUCAUAAAUAAGCCAGGUUAGGUCCUAAAAGUAUGGAAAUCAAUAUUGUUCAUUUAAUCUUAUUUUUUCUUUUUAUUUUUGUGGACUUGUGUAGAGAAAUAUGAUUUAUUUUAAAUGAUGUAUUUUUAAAAAUACUUGAGAGAUUACAAAUUAUGUAUUUGUUUAAUUAUGCCUUGGUUUCUGACAGUGUAUUCAGAUGCCCACACAGCUAAGUUGACUGAGAAUCAAGGGAGGGUGCUUUUCGACUUGAAUUCUGGUUUGUUGGUUUGUUCUGAUAGUUACUUGUAAACAAAUGAGUAGAAUAUUUAGGUAGACUUCAAUUUCACAGUAAUAUCAGUUAGUCUUGGAAGUUUGGAUAUACAAAGAUUUUCUUUUAUUUUUCUCUGUUCAACAUAAAUAAGCAUUCAAUGUAAUUAAAAAAUGUUUCAUUGGUAAUGCCUUGAGAAGAUUUAUUUCUGAUGUCUCCCAUAUCUUCUGUUGUUCUCUUUUGUGCUUGGUAGGCCUUCAGUAAGUGUAGUCUGACACGCUUUGUGGCCUCUGCCUCCUGUGAUAAAAUAGAUUGAAAUGAUUCCUGGCACCAUCUGGUGAAGAGGAGCAGCCCUGGAGGACUGUGCUUUGAGAGAAAGUGACUGAAUGCUAAGAAAUGUGGAAGUCUAGGGACACAGGCAAAGGAUUUUUUUUUUUUUUUAAAGAGCAUGAACAUUAAUACAUCUUCUUGAGGUUUGAUGGGACAUGUACUGCCUACUGCCCCAUCUGGUGCUUAUGAUAGCAUGGCAUAUUAGCAUGCUGCAAGUUCAUAAUGUAUUCAGGGGGAGGAAACAUCCCUUGCAUACCAAUUGAGGCAUCCUCUCUUUCAGAACUGCUUUUGAAUUUCAAUGAUGUUUAUAUCUUCCAAGCCGCGUCUGAACUGAGCAUUUCCGCUCUGAGGAAUAACUUGAGAGAGAGAGAGAGAGAGUGAGAGAGAGAGAGAGAGAGAGUGUGUGUGUGUGUGUGAGAGAGAGAGUGUGUGUAUGUGAGAGAGAGAGAGCAUGUGCAAGAGAGAAUGUAUGUGUAUGUAUUCUCUCCAUUAAUUUAUCUUCCUCUCUUUUUUGUGAUGAAAUUAAGUAGUUUUUAAUAUUAUGUUGGUAUAUAAUUUUUAAAUUUUUUUUCUUAUUUGAAACCAUGUACUACUUUGUUAUUUCACGUACGGCACUUAAAACAUUUUGCCUUGUGGAAUCAUUUGUAUGGUUGUCCUCCUAUAGAUUGAACACUUUUCGAGGGUUGGGCUGGUACCUAAUUAUGUUUGUGUCUCCAUGGCACCUAGAGUUCAGUCAUCCAUUUAACAAAUAUUUAUUUAUUGAGCUCACACUAUGGGUCUGACACUGUUAUAGAUGCUGAGGAAUCAAUAGUGAGCAAGACUGGAUGCCGCAAAUACAGAGACUUAGGUAGUAUUUGUGUUCCACUAGAAAGAGAGGGAAAGAAAAACCAGCUGAUCAGUGAGUUAAGCUGGUACAAGUUACACUAGUAUCCAUGAACAUAUUAAAAGUCAAAUGUGUGAUACAAAUCAUUCUUUUCUUUCAAGGUGGUGACAGUCUGAAAUGAUACAUGAGUCGGCAGGUAGGGGUGAAAUAUCUGUGUUCUUUAGGAGAGCACAGGCCAUGGGGUAGGCUUCCUAUGUAAUACAGGCAUGUUCAGUUUAAAUUAUUUGAGUAAUUUCCUUGGACCCACUUAAAUUUUCUGACCUCCAUGAAGUUGCUGCACCGUCUAAAAGUACCUGAAAAAAAUAAAAUCUACUGAACUUAAGUGGCUAUAUAGGUAUCCUCUCAAAGUAUAACUUUUGAGUUUUAGUGGCUGCACAAUAAACAGGAUUCAAUUCAAUAUAAAAAUAUUUGAGUACUGAUUCUGGGAACGACUUUCUACUAAGCGUAGCAGGGGUUUUAAAGAGAGGAAGACACAGUCCUGGCACUUAAGGAACUUAAGUGUAGUAGGGGAUAUAGAAGGAGAUUGAAGGAUUGAGAGGCAGAAAAGUGGAGACUGAUUAGGGAGAAAUUACAAGAGGUAGCGCAGGUUCCAAAUCAACAUGAGAGGAUUUUGAAAGCAUUGAGUUGAAGUCCAUGAUUGAAAUUCAUUGAAUGAGUGUCAUUAUUUGGGAGAAAAGGUGAGAGUGGAAUCAAGGGUACUGUUUGAAUUUUGAGCCUGCGUAAUUGGCAGAGUGGUCUUGCCUCAGUGGAAAUAAGAAAGCAGGAAGAACUCGUUUUGCAGAAAGAAUAAUCUCACUGAUAGGUUGAAUUGGAGACUCUUACAAUAGUAGGAUCCAUCUUGCCUACAGUUGGGAAUGUAUCAUGGUAGUUUGGGUGAGGAAUUGAGUCCUGAGAUAUAAACUAAAGUGGAAAAAAUUGUACAUUUAUGUGAUGGAUAGACAAUUUUGAG